This 64-nucleotide transfer RNA is filed under the name Solecurtus divaricatus (divaricate short razor). RNAcentral describes it as "tRNA-Cys". Lineage: Eukaryota; Metazoa; Mollusca; Bivalvia; Cardiida; Solecurtidae. The record is from RNAcentral.
GGUCUUGUAGUUUAUAUAAAACUUUAAGUUGCAGCCUUAAUGAAGAGGCAGUUCUCCAGGACUU